UUUUGCAAGCGCUUAGUUUUAUUUUUGUUGUACUUGCGUGUUUCAAAAUAAUAUAUAUACUAUGUAUUACAAUAUUUUAUAUAUAUAUAUAUAUACAUAUGUAUAUGCGAUUAUUAGUAAGCUCGUAUAUGUACAUACGUCAGGUUAAUCAUAAAAGUAAUUUCACUUUUUUUUUAUAUUUACAUAUUUCUUAUAUUUAUUUAGUUUUUAUUUAGUUUUUAUUUAGUUUUUAUUCAGUUUUUAUUCUGCUUUUUUUUGUUUUUAUUUUGUUUUUAUUUUUAGAUUAAAUUUAUUUUAAAUUUUACGCCAAUUCAUUAUAUUUAUACACUUGUUUAAGGAAUUGUUUAUUCAUACUAUUGUUUAUAAAUAAUGUACGUAAAACUAGCAACAUAAACAUAUACAUAAAUCAGACUUUAAAUAACAAAGAGUUGCAAAUAUAUAUAUAUAUAUAUAUAUAUAUAUCUAUAUAUGUACUUGUUUUUGUACAUAUGUAUAAUCAUAUAAACAUAAUUAAAAAAACAAGAAAGAUAUUUUCUAUUUUUUUGUUUUAUAAAUUAUUUAUUCUUAAUUUGUUCGAUUUUUUUUUUUUUUUUUUUUAGCUUAUUUUUUUCGUGUGUUUGUUUAACUCUUAUUUUGUAAAUGUCUUUAUUUAAUUAUUAAUUUGUUCCCUUGUUUAUUUUUUCAUUUUUUUUUGUUUUUUUUUUUUUGUUUUUUUGAAAAAUGAAAAUUUUUUCUUUUUUAUUCCCCUUUGUUGUGUUAUUUAUAUCUUUCAACAAUGUUAAUUGUUUGUUCGAUGAUGUGCUCAGCAGAUUCUAUUGCAACAAUGAAAACUGUUACGAAAUUUUAGGCGCAAAACGUAGUGCGACAAACGAAGAGAUAAGGAACUUAUUUUUUAUGAAGAAAAGGAUGUUUAGUAAUCAUCCAGACCCGGAGUUAAGAAAAAAACUAAUAAAAGCAUAUACAGUUUUAUCCAAUAAACUAACUCGAAGGUACUAUGACUAUUAUUUAAAUAACCCCCACAGUAUAUUUAAUAUAAUACAUUUUAAUAUUUAUUAUAUUUAUAAAAUUAUAAAAAUAAUAAUAGCAUUAACAAUUGUUAUGUUUAUCUUAUCUUUAUUUAAUUAUAUGUAUAAAAAAUAUGAAAUAAAAAAAGUACUUAUAGCGUUAAGAAAAAAUAAACAUUUUAAUAAACAAGUACAGAGUACUAUACUUUCAAAACAUCCAAACUAUCGAACGUAUGAUACCAUAGAAAGAACAAAAAUACAUGACGAAAUUGAAUUAGAAGUAGCAGAUAGUUUUAGUCCUAUUACUAACUCUAUGAAUUUAAAAAUUUCUUUACUAAAUGAUUUUAUUAUAUUCAAAUUAUUUUUUUUACUUAAACAAAUAUAUUUAUAUAUAAAUUGGUAUAUACUAUGGAUAAUUAAUUAUAACAUCUUAAAUAAAGAAUAUACAGAAGAUGAUAAAAUUUAUAUCACUAGAACUUGUGUGAGAUUAUCUGCACAAAAAUGGAAUGUAUUAUCAAAUGAAGAAAAAAAAUAUUUUAAUGAAAAAACAAUUAUGGAUAAAACAAAAUAGAAAAGAGUUUUUAAAUGAAUUAAAAGAAAAAGAAAAAAUAAACAAAAUGUCACGUGCUAAAUAUAAAAAACA
Molecule: long non-coding RNA, 1647 nt
Filed under: Piliocolobus tephrosceles (Ugandan red Colobus)
Lineage: Eukaryota; Metazoa; Chordata; Mammalia; Primates; Cercopithecidae
Description: lncRNA (ENSPTEG00000026288.1)
Source: RNAcentral